AAUCAACGCUGGCGGCGUGCCUAACACAUGCAAGUCGAACGCGAGAGGGGCUUCGGCCCUGAUUGAGUGGCAAACGGGUGAGUAACGCGUGGGUGACCUACCUUCGAGUGGGGGAUAACGUUCCGAAAGGGACGCUAAUACCGCAUAACAUCCUGUCUUUGGACAGAUGGAGAUCAAAGCCGGGAUCGUAAGACCUGGCGCUUGAGGAGGGGCCCGCGUCCGAUUAGCUAGUUGGNGGGGUAAUGGCUCACCAAGGCAACGAUCGGUAGCCGGCCUGAGAGGGCGGACGGCCACACUGGGACUGAGACACGGCCCAGACUCCUACGGGAGCAGCAGUGGGGAAUUGUCGCAAUGGGCGCAAGCCUGACGACGCAACGCCGCGUGAAGGAUGAAGGUCUUCGGAUUGUAAACUUCUGUUGAU
RNAcentral lists this ribosomal RNA (421 nucleotides) under uncultured bacterium. RNAcentral describes it as "bacterial SSU rRNA". It matches the Rfam family "Bacterial small subunit ribosomal RNA", at positions 32 to 440 of the family's 1533-position model. The record is from RNAcentral.